RNAcentral lists this ribosomal RNA (253 nucleotides) under uncultured bacterium. Its description in RNAcentral is "partial 16S ribosomal RNA". It matches the Rfam family "Bacterial small subunit ribosomal RNA", at positions 524 to 776 of the family's 1533-position model. The record is from RNAcentral.
UACGUAGGGGGCGAGCGUUGUCCGAAGUUACUGGGCGUAAAGCGCGCGUAGGCGGGUCUUUAAGUGAGGGGUGAAAGGUUCGGGCUCAACCCGGACACUGCCUUUCAUACUGGGGAUCUUGAGUGCGGGAGGGGCGAGUGGAAUGGUCGGUGUAGCGGUGAAAUGCGUAGAUAUCAGGAGGAACACCGAUUGCGAAGGCAGCUCGCUGGGACGUUACUGACGCUGAGACGCGAAAGCGUGGGGAGCAAACAGG